CUAAGUUUGAUGGCGACCGGCGCACGGGUGAGUAACACGUAUCCAACCUGCCGAUGACUCGGGGAUAGCCUUUCGAAAGAAAGAUUAAUACCCGAUGGCAUAGUUCUUCCGCAUGGUAGAACUAUUAAAGAUUUCGGUCAUCGAUGGGGAUGCGUUCCAUUAGGUUGUUGGCGGGUAACGGCCCACCAAGCCUUCGAUGGAUAGGGGUUCUGAGAGGAAGGUCCCCCACAUUGGAACUGAGACACGGUCCAAACUCCUACGGGAGGCAGCAUG
This 273-nucleotide ribosomal RNA is filed under the name uncultured bacterium. Its description in RNAcentral is "partial 16S ribosomal RNA". It matches the Rfam family "Bacterial small subunit ribosomal RNA", at positions 79 to 353 of the family's 1533-position model. The record is from RNAcentral.